AGGAGAUCAAAAAAAAAAAAAAAAAAAAAAAAAAAAAAGCGAAACAAAACCCACGUCCCUCCUGGCGACGGGUAGCAAUAUUUUUUUUAUUUUUUUUGCGAGUCCUCCCCUCCUUGCAGCUUCCCGUGUCCUGCCUCGACUGGCUCCGCGCUCCCUUGCGCCUUCUUUACGCACGCACGCACACACACGCCGGGCGUCCCCUCGCCUUCACGCGCAUUUCUGGGAAGGACGCGUGCGGAGAAACAAGUCGUCCACGGAGCUCGAGAGAGGAGAACGAGCGAGCGAGCGAGCGAGAGAGAGAGAGAGAGAGAGAGAGAGAGAGGAGGAAGAAGAGGAGGAGGAGAGAGAGAGAGAAAGAGUGUGUCCGAGCGGAUCCCGGCGGAGCAACUCGAUAUCACGCCACCGGGAUGACCAAGUUCAGGGUCCGCACGCCGUCUCCUCCUCCCGCUGCUGGAUGUCGGAUCAAUGGAAUACCGUCGGGAUACGAUGAGGAGGAGGGCCAUUUGAUUGGACGCCGUUGACCACCGCUGAGGCUUUCAUGCAAAUUGAUGAAGGUCCAGUCUUCCCUUUUGUGAUCUCUUCCUCCCAGCGGAGGCGCGAGUGGAGAAGCGCAGCGCCGGCCGCGCACACGUUCAACGCGGCCGCGUCCCAAAGAAGCUGUGGCCAACCAGCCCCCGGGCGUCCUUAGCAUCAGAUGUCAGCCUCCUGGAGUCAAAAAGAGGGCCUGCAAGUCUUUCAAAACAAGUCAUCAAUCUGCGUCUGACCUCUUGCAUCUCACAACAGCAAAACAGCUUUUAUAUUACAACUAAGGAUGUUUGUUUUUGUUUGCGUUUGACUGCUGUGCUGCGGUGGCAAGAGGGGAGCGAGGAGCUCGCUUGUCCGCCAUUGGACGCCUUCUCCAUCUCGCUUUGUCAGGGGCGUGUUGACGUGAGGAAACAUCUGCUGCGUCCAAAUAGAGAGCGAUGACUGAAAUUAUAUGCAGACACGGAGGCCUGCCAGCCCUUGUGGCUAAUGUAAUCACAAAGGAGAGGCUCCUUUUAUUAAAAAAAAAAAAAAAACAUGCUCAAAGUCUAGAAAUGUAACUUGUGUAAAUGUAAAAAAAAAAAAAAAAAAAAAGUAUUGAGACGCUCCACUUGAAUCAGUGAAUUAGUUUAUCAAUCAUCAGACUGUUGAAUCAAGAUCCAUAAUGGCGUUGUUGGAGGACUCUGGUGUGAAAGAACUUGAGAGCUUCGAACUCGCCGCUAAAUAAUCCCUCAUAUUCGCUGUUCACUGCUCGCAAAUUCACUCAUUUGUGUUGCUGUUGUUUUGUUUGUUUGUUUGUUUGUUUUCCCUGUGGAGCCAACCACUGAGAAACUCCAGUUGUGCUUUUUCUAUCACGGCCUAAGGUGCCACAAGAUGGCGCCAAAGCAGAGGUUAAUAAGAAAGUAGUAAUUGAUGACAAGUACGCAUGUUUUGGUUUUUUUUCGUUUUUUUUAGCUCGACCGAGGGUAUGUCGGAGAGGAGCUAAGUUUAGCCUGGGUUGUUAGUGGAAGUUACUGAGACAGUUUUGUGAAUUUUUCCCAUAAUCCAACCACCAGUAUGCCAUUUAUUUAUAAGGAUAAUUUAAGAUAGGUUUGAAAUAAUAUCAGAGUGUUUUGAGAUCAUACUUUGUGGUUAGUUCAGUGUUAGCGACUGCUCCUUGCGAGUGUUUUCAUUUUGUAGUUCUGUGUUUGACUGUUGACUGCCCCAUUGAAAAAAACUGCAUCACUAACACUUUUUUUUUCUUCACUCGGCGUAUCUGAAACUCGCUCAUAACUCAAAUUUUGAAAAAAACAACAUCAACAAAAACAAUGGCUUGUAACUUGAAAGCCAUUAACGUGCGCCGACCGCGUUGCCUCACCUCCACAGUCUCCACUUGACUGCAGCGCUUCCUUUGGUGCUGCCCUUAGUCUACUCUUGGAUAAAGUGUGUGUCCUUACCAUUAGCGGUAAAUCCAGGCAUUCUCGUAUCACGUUCCAAGUGAUUUUGGCAGUUUCCCGCUGUGCUAUUUUGAAGUGGGGGGAACGGCGAACCCCAAACGAAGCAGCUUUGCAGCAGAAAAGCGUCACGACUGAGAUUGCGGGCCCGGCGCUCACAUCUCGAGUGACGAAUCAGAAUAGCUGCAAAUUUUCUCCACUUCCUGUAGGUGUAGCCGCCAUGCGUCCCAGAUACUUUUGCAUAUACAGUCCAGUCCUCUUGCGGAUGCUUGUGUGAAUUCGACAUUGCCCCUGGCAGUCUGUCCCCCACCCCCAACCCCACUUGAAUGGUCCUGGUUGCGCCGGUCCACUUGAGUGAAAAUGGAAUUUUUUUAAAGGUGGGGGCCAUGUUUCACCUGGUCGGUUUCCACUCGGCAACAGCAGUUCGCCCGAUGCUUUUAUGAUUAGGACGGUUAAAUUAGAAGCAGA
Phyllopteryx taeniolatus (common seadragon) is the source of this 2423-nucleotide long non-coding RNA. RefSeq lists it as uncharacterized. The transcript is spliced from 5 exons. Lineage: Eukaryota; Metazoa; Chordata; Actinopteri; Syngnathiformes; Syngnathidae. The record is from RefSeq and is a predicted model, not a curated record.